UACGUAGGGUCCGAGCGUUGUCCGGAGUUACUGGGCGUAAAGCGCGUGUAGGUGGCGAGAUAAGUCGGGUGUGAAAUCCCUUGGCUUAACCAAGGAAGUGCAUUCGAUACUGUUUCGCUUGAGUAUCGGAGGGGUCGGCGGAAUUCCCGGUGUAGAGGUGAAAUUCGUAGAUAUCGGGAGGAACACCUGUGGCGAAGGCGGCCGACUGGACGAUCACUGACACUGAGACGCGAAAGCGUGGGUAGCAAACAGG
RNAcentral lists this ribosomal RNA (253 nucleotides) under uncultured bacterium. RNAcentral describes it as "partial 16S ribosomal RNA". It matches the Rfam family "Bacterial small subunit ribosomal RNA", at positions 524 to 776 of the family's 1533-position model. The record is from RNAcentral.